RNAcentral lists this long non-coding RNA (1129 nucleotides) under Homo sapiens (human). RNAcentral's name for it is "HSALNT0358957". Lineage: Eukaryota; Metazoa; Chordata; Mammalia; Primates; Hominidae. The record is from RNAcentral.
AGCAAGUUAGGGUUGUAAGAGACAUUUCUGAGAUUAAAGCAGCCAGAUCUAUGAUGGGGUGGGUACGGGUGGUUAAAGAGAAACAGAACGUGAGAAUGACUCAUGAGACUAUUAAACUGACUUAACUGAAAUUUUAAAAAAGGGGGAAAUACCAACUACGAUGCACCCCCCCCACCCCCACCACACCAUGUUUUAAUGCUACUCAAGGUCUAUGGCUGGGAAAGGCCACUUGUUUUUCUUCAGUUAAUGCUGAGACUGUUUGUCUGCCAGAGAGGAAGAGGAGAUGAGGACACAGACAUACACAGAAGGAAGACCAUGUGAAGACACAGGGAGAAGGUGGCCAUCUUCAAGCCAACGAGAGAUGCCUCAGGAGGAGCCAACCCUGCUGACACCCUGAUCUCAGCCCUUCAGCCUCCAGGGGUACAAGAGAAUGAAUUUCUGCUGCUUCAGCCACUGUCUGUGGAACUUGGUUAUGGGAGACUAAUACAGUCAAUAAUUGGCCAUUGACUUUAUAUAAAAUGUCAAUAAAAGAAUGUGGGACUCCUAGACCUAGUUUGUUUUCCCCAGGCCAGGAGAGCUGUGAAUUAUUAUUUUUAAUUGUUGCAUAAUAAUUGCCCAUAUGUAUGGGCAUGUGUGAUAUUUUGUUACAUGCAUAGAACAUGUCAUGAUCAAGUCAGGGUAUUUAGAAUAUCCAUCUCCUCAAGCAUUUAUCAUUUCUGUGGAGCUGUGGACUCUUCAUGAAAAGUAUGGAGGGGCUGGCCUGCAGAACCAGGGGCCAGGGUAGGGGGAGAGCUGGAGACACACUCCCAUCCUUCUCCCCACACAAAGUCCUUUGGACACAACCAUGCCGCUCUGGUUGAACCCUUAUUUCUAGGACCCUCCCCAGUCUGUGUUCAUGGUCAGCUUUGGCCUCAGCCCAUGCCCUGGAUUUUCCACUGUGGCAUCCUGCUCCUCCCACACCUGCCUUCCCUCUCUCCUCCCGCGGGACUCACUCAAAUCUGACUGAGAGACUACUGUGUGCCACCCCCUGCUGUCUCUGCAUCUCCCUACUUUUGGGUCUGAAGAAGUGUGAGGACAGAGUAUUAUGUGCACACCCAUAAUGCCUGCCGAGUCUUCAGGGUCCCUUGGC